Molecule: transfer RNA, 73 nt
Filed under: Intestinozyma alai
Lineage: Eukaryota; Fungi; Ascomycota; Pichiomycetes; Serinales; Debaryomycetaceae
Description: Candida alai tRNA-Gln
Rfam family: tRNA
About the family: Transfer RNA (tRNA) molecules are approximately 80 nucleotides in length. Their secondary structure includes four short double-helical elements and three loops (D, anti-codon, and T loops). Further hydrogen bonds mediate the characteristic L-shaped molecular structure. tRNAs have two regions of fundamental functional importance: the anti-codon, which is responsible for specific mRNA codon recognition, and the 3' end, to which the tRNAs corresponding amino acid is attached (by aminoacyl-tRNA synthetases). tRNAs cope with the degeneracy of the genetic code in two manners: having more than one tRNA (with a specific anti-codon) for a particular amino acid; and 'wobble' base-pairing, i.e. permitting non-standard base-pairing at the 3rd anti-codon position.
Source: RNAcentral
UGAAUUAUAGAUUAAUUGGUAGAUCAAUUACAUUUGAGGUAAUAAGAUACAUGUUCGAAUCAUGUUAAUUCAG